This 253-nucleotide ribosomal RNA is filed under the name uncultured bacterium. RNAcentral's name for it is "partial 16S ribosomal RNA". It matches the Rfam family "Bacterial small subunit ribosomal RNA", at positions 524 to 776 of the family's 1533-position model. The record is from RNAcentral.
UACGGGGGUGGCAAGCGUUGUUCGGAAUUACUGGGCGUAAAGGGCGCGUAGGCGGCAUACCAAGUCAGAUGUGAAAGCCCUAGGCUUAACCUGGGAACUGCAUCUGAAACUGAAUUGCUUGAGUCCUGGAGGGGGUAGUGGAAUUCCCAGUGUAGCGGUGAAAUGCGUAGAUAUUGGGAGGAACACCUGCGGCGAAGGCGGCCACCUGGACAGUGACUGACGCUGAGGCGCGAAAGCUAGGGGAGCGAACGGG